GGCAUGCCUUACACAUGCAAGUCGAACGGCAGCGGGGGUAGCUUGCUACUGCCGGCGAGUGGCGAACGGGUGAGUAAUACAUCGGAACGUGCCCUGUAGUGGGGGAUAACUAGUCGAAAGACUAGCUAAUACCGCAUACGACUGAGGGUGAAAGUGGGGGACCGCAAGGCCUCAUGCUAUAGGAGCGGCCGAUGUCUGAUUAGCUAGUUGGUGGGGUAAAGGCCCACCAAGGCGACGAUCAGUAGCUGGUCUGAGAGGACGAUCAGCCACACUGGGACUGAGACACGGCCCAGACUCCUACGGGAGGCAGCAGUGGGGAAUUUUGGACAAUGGGGGCAACCCUGAUCCAGCAAUGCCGCGUGUGUGAAGAAGGCCUUCGGGUUGUAAAGCACUUUUGUCCGGAAAGAAAUCGCACUGGUUAAUACCUGGUGUGGAUGACGGUACCGGAAGAAUAAGGACCGGCUAACUACGUGCCAGCAGCCGCGGUAAUACGUAGGGUCCAAGCGUUAAUCGGAAUUACUGGGCGUAAAGCGUGCGCAGGCGGUUGUGCAAGACCGAUGUGAAAUCCCCGGGCUUAACCUGGGAAUUGCAUUGGUGACUGCACGGCUAGAGUGUGUCAGAGGGAGGUAGAAUUCCACGUGUAGCAGUGAAAUGCGUAGAGAUGUGGAGGAAUACCGAUGGCGAAGGCAGCCUCCUGGGAUAACACUGACGCUCAUGCACGAAAGCGUGGGGAGCAAACAGGAUUAGAUACCCUGGUAGUCCACGCCCUAAACGAUGUCAACUAGUUGUUGGGGAUUCAUUUCCUUAGUAACGUAGCUAACGCGUGAAGU
This 830-nucleotide ribosomal RNA is filed under the name Ralstonia solanacearum. Its description in RNAcentral is "bacterial SSU rRNA". It matches the Rfam family "Bacterial small subunit ribosomal RNA", at positions 41 to 865 of the family's 1533-position model. Lineage: Bacteria; Pseudomonadati; Pseudomonadota; Betaproteobacteria; Burkholderiales; Burkholderiaceae. The record is from RNAcentral.